UUUAAUUCGAUGAUACGCGAGGAACCUUACCUAGGCUAGAAUGCGCGUGACCGGCUCAGAGAUGAGCCUUUCCUUCGGGACACAAAGCAAGGUGCUGCAUGGCCGUCGUCAGCUCGUGCCGUGAGGUGUUGGGUUAAGUCCCGCAACGAGCGCAACCCCUACUUUUAGUUGCCAGCGGAUAAUGCCGGGGACUCUAGAAGGACUGCCUGCGCAAGCAGUGAGGAAGGCGGGGACGACGUCAGGUCAUCAUGGCCCUUACGCCUAGGGCUACACACGUGCUACGAUAGCCGGUACAGAGGGUCGCUACUGCGCGAGCAGACGCCAAUCUCACAAAACCGGUCUCAGUUCGGAUCGGAGUCUGCAACUCGACUCCGUGAAGCUGGAAUCACUAGUAAUCGCGUAUCAGCAAUGACG
Molecule: ribosomal RNA, 414 nt
Filed under: uncultured bacterium
Lineage: Bacteria
Description: bacterial SSU rRNA
Rfam family: Bacterial small subunit ribosomal RNA
Source: RNAcentral